UGUGAACUCGAAGAGUAGGGCGGGACACGUGGUAUCCUGUCUGAAUAUGGGGGGACCAUCCUCCAAGGCUAAAUACUCCUGACUGACCGAUAGUGAACCAGUACCGUGAGGGAAAGGCGAAAAGAACCCCGGCGAGGGGAGUGAAAAAGAACCUGAAACCGUGUACGUACAAGCAGUGGGAGCACCUUUAUGGUGUGACUGCGUACCUUUUGUAUAAUGGGUCAGCGACUUAUAUUCUGUAGCAAGGUUAACCGUAUAGGGGAGCCGCAGGGAAACCGAGUCUUAACUGGGCGUUAAGUUGCAGGGUAUAGACCCGAAACCCGGUGAUCUAGCCAUGGGCAGGUUGAAGGUUGGGUAACACUAACUGGAGGACCGAACCGACUAAUGUUGAAAAAUUAGCGGAUGACUUGUGGCUGGGGGUGAAAGGCCAAUCAAACCGGGAGAUAGCUGGUUCUCCCCGAAAGCUAUUUAGGUAGCGCCUCGUGAACUCAUCUUCGGGGG
This 501-nucleotide ribosomal RNA is filed under the name Klebsiella quasipneumoniae subsp. quasipneumoniae. RNAcentral describes it as "partial 23S ribosomal RNA". It matches the Rfam family "Bacterial large subunit ribosomal RNA", at positions 398 to 902 of the family's 2925-position model. The record is from RNAcentral. Lineage: Bacteria; Pseudomonadati; Pseudomonadota; Gammaproteobacteria; Enterobacterales; Enterobacteriaceae.